Molecule: small RNA, 252 nt
Filed under: Arabidopsis thaliana (thale cress)
Lineage: Eukaryota; Viridiplantae; Streptophyta; Magnoliopsida; Brassicales; Brassicaceae
Description: ATSL214850
Source: RNAcentral
UGUAAUGUUUUAUUAUAGUUAUAUGAUGUAAUGGGUUUUUAAUAAAUAAGUAGUGUUUAAUUUAAAUAAUAUUAUAUUUUUUGGAAAUGUUUACAAAUCUAUAAUAUAUGGGGUCAAAUUGUAAAUUAUAUAAUUAAAAGGUAUUAGUAUAUAAAUUAGAAAUAGAAUAUUUCUAAAAAUAUUCUUUUUUAUAGUAGUAAAUAGAUAUAGAACUAUACAUUGGAGAUGGUCUUACUAUUUGUAAAAAAGUGA